ACCUCAGAGCAGGCGAGAU
This 19-nucleotide ribosomal RNA is filed under the name Dasymutilla cypris. RNAcentral describes it as "partial 28S ribosomal RNA". The record is from RNAcentral. RNAcentral also lists the same sequence under 1 other name. Lineage: Eukaryota; Metazoa; Arthropoda; Insecta; Hymenoptera; Mutillidae.